Cucurbita pepo subsp. pepo (vegetable marrow) is the source of this 482-nucleotide long non-coding RNA. RefSeq lists it as uncharacterized. The record is from RefSeq and is a predicted model, not a curated record. Lineage: Eukaryota; Viridiplantae; Streptophyta; Magnoliopsida; Cucurbitales; Cucurbitaceae.
GAGAGGGUGACGGGAGAAGCGAACAAGAGGAAAGAAGGUGGGGCAGAGGAGACGAACGAUGAAGUUUUGAGCGCUCGUCAGCGACGGUGGGGCCAAAUGGUUGAGAAAGGAAGAACUCCAAUGGUUAUGGAUGAGGGAAGUUGAUGAGUCUUCGUGAAGAAGGAGACAUGGGGUGCUUAGAGGAAACAAAGAUCAAGAAGAAGGUGGGAAGAAGAGGCCGAAAAUCGUGAGGCACGGCUUGACUCCACCCACUUGAAAAUUUCAACUAGCUUAGUCAAGUGGAUACUUGAAGACUCGAUAAAGUUUUGGGAAGUCUACGAUCAGGUGAAAAGUAGAUCCGAAUUGGUGGCAGGAACGUGUGGAGAUGUGUAGCUGCAGAAGGGGCCCUUAGAUUGAGUCCUCUCCUCCCAUGUUGUUUUGGUUAUAAUUUUGACGUUUUUGGAAAAACACGCGAUAUUUUGUAACCGUUUCCUUUUGACGUG